GAUGAAGAACGCAGCGAAAUGCGAUAAGUAAUGUGAAUUGCAGAAUUCAGUGAAUCAUCGAAUCUUUGAACGCACAUUGCGCCCGCUAGUAUUCUGGCGGGCAUGCCUGUUCGAGCGUCAUUUCAACCCUCAAGCCCCCGGGCUUGGUGUUGGGGAUCGGCGUGCCCUCGCGGCGCGCCGUCCCCUAAAUCUAGUGGCGGUCUCGCUGUAGCUUCCUCUGCGUAGUAGCAACACUCGCACUGGAUCGCAGCGCGGCCACGCCGUUAAACCCCCCACUUCUGAAAGUUUGACCUCGGAUCAGGUAGGAAUACCCGCUGAACUUAAGCAUAUCAAUAAGCGGAGGA
This 344-nucleotide unclassified non-coding RNA is filed under the name soil metagenome. RNAcentral describes it as "partial contains 5.8S ribosomal RNA, internal transcribed spacer 2, and large subunit ribosomal RNA". The stretch from base 1 to 120 matches the Rfam family "5.8S ribosomal RNA", at positions 35 to 154 of the family's 154-position model. The record is from RNAcentral.